AUGGAGGGCCCGUUCAAGGGCCACCCUCCGCACGGCUGUCGCAUCGAGUUCUUCGGCGUCCGUGUCUUCCACGUCGAUGAAGACACCAAGGUGGAGAAGGCAGAGUUCUUCUACGAGCGUGGCAACUUCCUCGCAAGCUUUCUUGUCUGCGCCUACUACUUCUGCUUCUGCUGCAUCGGCUUUAGGUUGCCCUGUGACGAGAGGAGACUAAAGCGCGACGGAAUCGACGAAACAUGCUUGUCACUAGCUAGUAUUGUCUUCAGGCUCUCUCUCUCUCUCUUGGGAGGACGCCGCCCUUCCUCUGCUCCCUGUCCAAGCAAGCGAGCUCUGGAUCCACCCCCACAACCACGACAUCGGCACCGGCACCGGAGGCCGUGGAGAUGCAGCUCCGUCGCGCAGUCAUCGAGCCAAGGUACUCACUCCCCUCUUCCUUUUGCUUCGCUCAUGGGUCAUCAAAUUUGCUUGCUACAGAAACAUUAG
This 480-nucleotide ribosomal RNA is filed under the name Triticum aestivum (bread wheat). Its description in RNAcentral is "partial small subunit ribosomal RNA". Lineage: Eukaryota; Viridiplantae; Streptophyta; Magnoliopsida; Poales; Poaceae. The record is from RNAcentral.